UCACACACACACACACACCCACACCCCCCUAUACAAAGCCUAAAGUAAUAGAAAAGCAAAUUGUUUUUAUAAUUACUAUUUUAUUUUUAUUUCUUUAAUUUUUUUUCUUAAUCUAAUUUACAUACACAUACAAAAGUGCAUUUGCACACACGCGCGCAUGCUCGUUUUGUAUGCACACACACGAGCAUGUGUUUUGUAUGUACACACACGCACACGUGUUUUGUAUGUACACACACACGCACACGUGUUUUGUAUGUACACACACACGCACACGUGUUUUGUAUGUAC
RNAcentral lists this unclassified non-coding RNA (288 nucleotides) under Hevea brasiliensis (rubber tree). The record is from RNAcentral. Lineage: Eukaryota; Viridiplantae; Streptophyta; Magnoliopsida; Malpighiales; Euphorbiaceae.